ACAAUUGGAGGGAGAGUCUGGUGCCAGCAGCCGCGGUAAUUCCAGCUCCAAUAGCGUAUAUUAAAGUUGUUGCAGUUAAAAAGCUCGUAGUUGAAUUUCGGGGUUAGUAGGCUGGUCGUGCCACAGGUAUGUACUGGUCUUACUGAUUCCUCCUUCCUGAUGAACCGUAAUGCCAUUAAUUUGGUGUUGCGGGGAAUUUGGACUGUUACUUUGAAAAAAUUAAAGUGUUUAAAGCAAGCUAACGCUUGAAUACAUUAGCAUGGAAUAAUGAAAUAGGACGUUCGAUCCUAUUUUGUUGGUUUCUAGGAUUGACGUAAUGAUUAAUAGGGAUAGUUGGGGGCAUUAGUAUUCAAUUGUCAGAGGUGAAAUUCUUGGAUUUAUUGAAGACUAACUACUGCGAAAGCAUUUGCCAAGGAUGUUUUCAUUAAUCAAGAACGAAAGUUAGGGGAU
Molecule: ribosomal RNA, 450 nt
Filed under: Rhizophagus intraradices
Lineage: Eukaryota; Fungi; Glomeromycota; Glomeromycetes; Glomerales; Glomeraceae
Description: SSU rRNA
Rfam family: Eukaryotic small subunit ribosomal RNA
Source: RNAcentral